UACGUAGGGGGCAAGCGUUGUCCGGAUUUAUUGGGCGUAAAGAGCGUGUAGGCGGCCUGACAGGUCUGCUGUGAAAACUCGAGGCUCAACCUCGAGAUGUCGGCGGAAACCGUCUGGCUAGAGUCCGGAAGAGGAGAAUGGAAUUCCCGGUGUAGCGGUGAAAUGCGCAGAUAUCGGGAAGAACACCCGUGGCGAAGGCGGCUCUCUGGGACGGUACUGACGCUGAGACGCGAAAGCGUGGGGAGCGAACAGG
RNAcentral lists this ribosomal RNA (253 nucleotides) under uncultured bacterium. Its description in RNAcentral is "partial 16S ribosomal RNA". It matches the Rfam family "Bacterial small subunit ribosomal RNA", at positions 524 to 776 of the family's 1533-position model. The record is from RNAcentral.